UCCUCCCUCUUUCUUCGUGCUUAACACAUGCAAGUCGAACGGAAAGGCCCUGCUUUUGUGGGGUGCUCGAGUGGCGAACGGGUGAGUAACACGUGAGUAACCUGCCCUUGACUUUGGGAUAACUUCAGGAAACUGGGGCUAAUACCGGAUAGGAGCUCCUGCUGCAUGGUGGGGGUUGGAAAGUUUCGGCGGUUGGGGAUGGACUCGCGGCUUAUCAGCUUGUUGGUGGGGUAGUGGCUUACCAAGGCUUUGACGGGUAGCCGGCCUGAGAGGGUGACCGGCCAAAUUGGGACUGAGAUACGGCCCAGACUCCUACGGGAGGCAGCAGUGGGGAAUAUUGCACAAUGGGCGGAAGCCUGAUGCAGCAACGCCGCGUGCGGGAUGACGGCCUUCGGGUUGUAAACCGCUUUCGCCUGUGACGAAGCGUGAGUGACGGUAAUGGGUAAAGAAGCACCGGCUAACUACGUG
RNAcentral lists this ribosomal RNA (468 nucleotides) under uncultured bacterium. RNAcentral describes it as "partial 16S ribosomal RNA". It matches the Rfam family "Bacterial small subunit ribosomal RNA", at positions 36 to 507 of the family's 1533-position model. The record is from RNAcentral.